UGAGGAAUAUUGGGCAAUGCCCGCAAGGGUGACCCAGCAACGCCGCGUGGAGGAUGAAUGUCGUAAGAUUGUAAACUCCUGUUAGAGGGGAAGAAUAGUACCGGUUGGACCGGUAUAUGACUGUACCCUCAGAGAAAGCCCCGGCUAACUACGUGCCAGCAGCCGCGGUAAUACGUAGGGGGCAAGCGUUGUCCGGAUUUACUGGGUGUAAAGGGCGCGCAGGCGGAAUAAAAAGUCAGUGGUGAAAUCCUACAGCUUAACUGUAGAACUGCCUUUGAUACUUUUAUUCUUGAGUUCGGGAGAGAGAGACGGAAUUCCAGGUGUAGUGGUGAAAUACGUAGAUAUCUGGAAGAACACCAGUUGCGAAGGCGGUCUCUUGGUCCGACACUGACGCUGAGGCGCGAAAGCGUGGGGAGCAAACA
RNAcentral lists this ribosomal RNA (422 nucleotides) under uncultured bacterium. RNAcentral's name for it is "bacterial SSU rRNA". It matches the Rfam family "Bacterial small subunit ribosomal RNA", at positions 355 to 774 of the family's 1533-position model. The record is from RNAcentral.